AGUGAACGCUGGCGGUAGGCCUAACACAUGCAAGUCGAACGGCAGCACAGUAAGAGCUUGCUCUUACGGGUGGCGAGUGGCGGACGGGUGAGGAAUACAUCGGAAUCUACUUUUUCGUGGGGGAUAACGUAGGGAAACUUACGCUAAUACCGCAUACGACCUACGGGUGAAAGCAGGGGAUCUUCGGACCUUGCGCGAUUGAAUGAGCCGAUGUCGGAUUAGCUAGUUGGCGGGGUAAAGGCCCACCAAGGCGACGAUCCGUAGCUGGUCUGAGAGGAUGAUCAGCCACACUGGAACUCAGACACGGUCCAGACUCCUACGGGAGGCAGCAGUGGGGAAUAUUGGACAAAGGGCGCAAGCCUGAUCCAGCCAUACCGCGUGGGUGAAGAAGGCCUUCGGGUUGUAAAGCCCUUUUGUUGGGAAAGAAAAGCAGCAGGUUAAUACCCCGCUGUUCUGACGGUACCCAAAGAAUAAGCACCGGCUAACUUCGUG
This 492-nucleotide ribosomal RNA is filed under the name uncultured bacterium. RNAcentral's name for it is "partial 16S ribosomal RNA". It matches the Rfam family "Bacterial small subunit ribosomal RNA", at positions 29 to 507 of the family's 1533-position model. The record is from RNAcentral.